GACGAACGCUGGCGGCGUGCCUAAUACAUGCAAGUCGAGCGGGGAUUAUGCUUGAUCGCUUCGGUGAGACGGCAUAUAUCCUAGCGGCGGACGGGGUGAGUAACGCGUGGGUAAUCUACCUCGUAGUUCGGGAUAACAGGCCGAAAGGCUUGCUAAUACCGGAUGAGUUCAUGCUUAUGCAUAUAGGCGUGAAGAAAGGGCUAGCCCGCUAUGAGAUGAGCCCGCGUCCCAUUAGCUUGUUGGUGGGGUAAUGGCCUACCAAGGCAACGAUGGGUAGCCGGCCUGAGAGGGUGUACGGCCACACUGGGACUGAGACACGGCCCAGACUCCUACGGGGGCAGCAGUAGGGAAUUUUCGGCAAUGGGCGAAAGCCUGACCGAGCGACGCCGCGUGAGGGACGAAGGCCUCGGUUGUAACGUACUGUCUGGGGAGUGAGACGGACGGUACCCCGGACGGAAGCCCGGCGUAACUACGUGCCAGCAGCCGCGGUAAAGUACUACUAU
This 503-nucleotide ribosomal RNA is filed under the name uncultured bacterium. RNAcentral describes it as "bacterial SSU rRNA". It matches the Rfam family "Bacterial small subunit ribosomal RNA", at positions 28 to 530 of the family's 1533-position model. The record is from RNAcentral.